This 250-nucleotide ribosomal RNA is filed under the name uncultured bacterium. RNAcentral describes it as "partial 16S ribosomal RNA". It matches the Rfam family "Bacterial small subunit ribosomal RNA", at positions 57 to 305 of the family's 1533-position model. The record is from RNAcentral.
GCAAGUCGAGGGGUAACAGGAGUGCUUGCACUCGCUGACGACUGGCGCACGGGUGCGUAACGCGUAUAGAACCUACCUUUUACAGAGGGAUAGCCUUUAGAAAUGAAGAUUAAUACCUCAUGGUAUUGCAGAUCGGCAUCGAUCAGUAUUAAAGAUUUAUCGGUAAAAGAUGGCUAUGCGUCCUAUUAGCUAGAUGGUAAGGUAACGGCUUACCAUGGCAACGAUAGGUAGGGGCCCUGAGAGGGGGAUC